RNAcentral lists this ribosomal RNA (462 nucleotides) under uncultured Streptococcus sp. RNAcentral's name for it is "bacterial SSU rRNA". It matches the Rfam family "Bacterial small subunit ribosomal RNA", at positions 921 to 1382 of the family's 1533-position model. The record is from RNAcentral. Lineage: Bacteria; Bacillati; Bacillota; Bacilli; Lactobacillales; Streptococcaceae.
CCGCACAAGCGGUGGAGCAUGUUGGUUUAAUUCGAAGCAACGCGAAGAACCUUUACCAGGUCUUGACAUCCCGAUGCUAUUUCUAGAGAUAGAAAGUUACUUCGGUACAUCGGUGACAGGUGGUGCAUGGUUGUCGUCAGCUCGUGUCGUGAGAUGUUGGGUUAAGUCCUGCAACGAGCGCAACCCCUAUUGUUAGUUGCCAUCAUUCAGUUGGGCACUCUAGCGAGACUGCCGGUAAUAAACCGGAGGAAGGUGGGGAUGACGUCAAAUCAUCAUGCCCCUUAUGACCUGGGCUACACACGUGCUACAAUGGUUGGUACAACGAGUUGCGAGUCGGUGACGGCGAGCUAAUCUCUUAAAGCCAAUCUCAGUUCGGAUUGUAGGCUGCAACUCGCCUACAUGAAGUCGGAAUCGCUAGUAAUCGCGGAUCAGCACGCCGCGGUGAAUACGUUCCCGGGCCUU